GCUCUCUCACCCCAAGGGACUUGAGGUCUUUAUCUAUUUCCAUCACUUAACCAUGAGCUCUUUGGGAACCAGAACCCAGUCAGAACCAUUGGGGUAUCUGAAUCUGGACCCAAGCAUGUAGUGGGGCUCAGUCUACCUGUCACCUCAUUCAGGAUUCUUUCAGUUGUCUUUGUGAGGAAGACAUGGGACAUGUGGACGAUAUCCUCACAAUAUUUCUGCAAUAAUGAAACAACAUGAUUCUGGGACUUGCUUCAAAUAUUCAGCGUGGGGGAGUGGGUAGGAGUAUAGCGAAAACCAGAUGGGCCAUGAGUUGAUAAUUGUUGGACUGGGUGAUGGAGACUGCUUUGUUAUAUGUUUCCCUUUACUGUGGUGUACAUUUAACAUUUUUCCAUAAUAAAAAAAGAAUUUAAACCCAGCAAUAAAUCCUUUCCAACAAUUGCUUUUUAAAAUGCUCCUUUUAAUAAACUUGCUUUUAAGUUCAAUUGACAGGUGGUUUUUAUCAUAACUCCUCCCUCAUAUUUUUGGCCUUUGUAUCUACUGUCCUUAUUUAUUAACUUAUUUUUAACAGUUUUAUUGAG
RNAcentral lists this long non-coding RNA (578 nucleotides) under Homo sapiens (human). Its description in RNAcentral is "HSALNT0268308". Lineage: Eukaryota; Metazoa; Chordata; Mammalia; Primates; Hominidae. The record is from RNAcentral.